Molecule: ribosomal RNA, 766 nt
Filed under: uncultured Russula
Lineage: Eukaryota; Fungi; Basidiomycota; Agaricomycetes; Russulales; Russulaceae
Description: partial 28S ribosomal RNA
Rfam family: Eukaryotic large subunit ribosomal RNA
Source: RNAcentral
GAAUCCCGUCUUUGGCACGGAUGUACCGGGGCUUUUGCGAUGCGCUCUCGAAGAGUCGAGUUGUUUGGGAAUGCAGCUCAAAAUGGGUGGUGAACUCCAUCUAAAGCUAAAUAUUGGCGAGAGACCGAUAGCGAACAAGUACCGUGAGGGAAAGAUGAAAAGCACUUUGGAAAGAGAGUGAAACAGUACGUGAAAUUGUUGAAAGGGAAACGCUUGAAGUCAGUCGCGUCGACCGAGACUCAGCCUCGCCUCGGCUUGGUGUACUUCUCGGCUGACGGGUCAGCAUCAAUUUUGCCCCUUGGAUAAUGGCGAGGGAAAUGUGACACCUUUGCGGUGUGUUAUAGUCUCUCGUCGCAUGCAAGGGUCGGGAUUGAGGAACUCAGCACGCGCCUUUGGGCGUCGGGGCUUUGCCCACGAUACGUGCUUAGGAUGCUGGCGUAAUGGCUUUAAACGACCCGUCUUGAAACACGGACCAAGGAGUCUAACAUGCCUGCGAGUGUUCGGGUGGAAAACCCGUGCGCGCAAUGAAAGUGAAAGUUGGGACCUCUGUCGUGGAGGGCACCGACGCCCGGACCAGACCUUCUGUGACGGUUCUGCGGUAGAGCAUGUAUGUUAGGACCCGAAAGAUGGUGAACUAUGCCUGAAUAGGGUGAAGCCAGAGGAAACUCUGGUGGAGGCUCGUAGCGAUUCUGACGUGCAAAUCGAUCGUCAAAUUUGGGUAUAGGGGCGAAAGACUAAUCGAACCAUCUAGUAGCUGGUUCCUGCC